Molecule: ribosomal RNA, 274 nt
Filed under: uncultured bacterium
Lineage: Bacteria
Description: partial 16S ribosomal RNA
Rfam family: Bacterial small subunit ribosomal RNA
Source: RNAcentral
AUACGGGGGGUGCAAGCGUUAAUCGGAAUUACUGGGUGUAAAGCGCGCGUAGGCGGCUUUGUAAGUCGGAUGUGAAAGCCCUGGGCUCAACCUGGGAACUGCAUUCGAAACUGCAUGGCUAGAGUCUGAUAGAGGGAAGUGGAAUUUCCGGUGUAGCGGUGAAAUGCGUAGAUAUCGGAAGGAACACCAGUGGCGAAGGCGGCUUCCUGGAUCAAGUCUGACGCUGAGGUGCGAAAGCGUGGGGAGCAAACAGGAUUAGAAACCCCAGUAGUCC